UUUUUCUAAGGUUGACCUCGGAUCAGGUAGGGAUACCCGCUGAACUUAAC
Molecule: ribosomal RNA, 50 nt
Filed under: Phyllosticta podocarpi
Lineage: Eukaryota; Fungi; Ascomycota; Dothideomycetes; Botryosphaeriales; Phyllostictaceae
Description: partial 28S ribosomal RNA
Source: RNAcentral